This 256-nucleotide ribosomal RNA is filed under the name uncultured bacterium. RNAcentral's name for it is "partial 16S ribosomal RNA". It matches the Rfam family "Bacterial small subunit ribosomal RNA", at positions 793 to 1050 of the family's 1533-position model. The record is from RNAcentral.
GUCCACACCGUAAACGAUGAUUACUAGGUGUUGGAGGAUUGACCCCUUCAGUGCCGCAGUUAACACAAUAAGUAAUCCACCUGGGGAGUACGACCGCAAGGUUGAAACUCAAAGGAAUUGACGGGGGCCCGCACAAGCAGUGGAGUAUGUGGUUUAAUUCGACGCAACGCGAAGAACCUUACCAAGUCUUGACAUCCCUUGACGAACAUAGAAAUAUGUUUUCUCUUCGGAGCAAGGAGACAGGUGGUGCAUGGUU